UGGGGAAUAUUACACAAUGGAGGAAACUCUGAUGUAGCAACGCCGCGUGGAGGAUGACACAUUUCGGUGCGUAAACUCCUUUUAUAUGGGAAGAUAAUGACGGUACCAUAUGAAUAAGCACCGGCUAACUCCGUGCCAGCAGCCGCGGUAAUACGGAGGGUGCAAGCGUUACUCGGAAUCACUGGGCGUAAAGCGCGCGCAGGCGGUCUUUUAAGUUGGAUGUGAAAUCCUAUGGCUCAACCAUAGAACUGCAUCCAAAACUGAAAGACUAGAGUCUGGGAGGGGAAGAUGGAAUUAGUGGUGUAGGGGUAAAAUCCGUAGAGAUCACGAGGAAUACCAGGGGCGAAGGCGAUCUUCUGGAAGAGUACUGACGCUGAGGCGCGAAAGCGUGGGGAGCAAACAG
RNAcentral lists this ribosomal RNA (403 nucleotides) under uncultured bacterium. Its description in RNAcentral is "bacterial SSU rRNA". It matches the Rfam family "Bacterial small subunit ribosomal RNA", at positions 355 to 775 of the family's 1533-position model. The record is from RNAcentral.